Long non-coding RNA from Centropristis striata (black sea bass), 1183 nucleotides. RefSeq lists it as uncharacterized. The record is from RefSeq and is a predicted model, not a curated record. The transcript has 3 exons. Lineage: Eukaryota; Metazoa; Chordata; Actinopteri; Perciformes; Serranidae.
UUUUUAUUACUCCAUUCUUCGUGGUGUUUGCAGCAACUGUGUGAAUGUGAUAUUAUGAGAACUGUAAGUUGAAGAAUCGUAUUUUUGACCAUGAAGAUUGCCUCUGGUUGGUUGAGAAGCAGGCUAAAGUGUUCUGCGGUGUUUAUGUGGUGUUAAUAAACAUCAGUGAAAGGAACUGGAGUCUCGCAUCCAAUCAAUGGGCGGCAUAAGUGGUGUAGAUGAUUUUUCUCUGGAGUUGUCAACAUUUGAGCAGUCGAGGACCAGCACGGCUGGAUCCCAGAACAACAGCAACAGUCACAUGAGGGCCUCAGCGUGAACUGGACCGGCCCAUGACCUGGAGUGGCACUGUAACUCAGAUACAAUGACCUCAUGAAGCACAGGGGAGAAGGCCUGUUCUCAGGCAAAACAAACCAUUUACAACACUAAGCAGAAACUGUUAAGAGUGUUUCAUCAGUAAACUACUUUAAAUGCAUAAAUAACUGGAGACACACUGGCUGAUUGAUGCUGAGACUUCAUGUGUGAUUUAUUUUUUUUACAGUCAAAUACCAGAGAUCAAAAGAAUAGUUUGACAUUUAAGGAAAAAUAUUAAUUUGAGUUAUGUAAUCUUCUGAAAGCAUCAUGUUCCCUCAAAUAUUUUUUUUCAAAUUUGGAAAAGGCCCUUUGUUCCCUAAGCCCAAUGUUACCAAAUAGUUGGAAACAGCCCUAUGCUCCCCCAAAGAAAAUUCCAAAUUUGGAAAAGAGCCUGUGUUCCCUCACUGUUUGAAUAUUUGUAUAUUGAUAGAAAGAUGGAUUGACAGAUGGAUAGACAAAUAGCUAGAGAUUAAUAUGAUAUAUAUGAUUGAAUUCAAACUCCAUUACCAAAAAUGAAUGUUAAUUACAAAAAGUAAAACUGGUACAACAGGAACAUUGAGAGACUCUAUAGUUUCUGUUGUUCUUUAAUUUCUUUCUAUUGACUUACAGCCUAAAGCUAUCCCAUUUACAGUGCUACUGCAUACUAUUAAUGGGGACCAAUAAACCAAACCAGACAACAUUUCCUCGAUAAUGCAGUGUCUGACUGCUCUCAAAUCUGAUUAUAUUUAACUAUUGCAAUCAUUGUACUGCCUUGAGUCCAAUGAGGUAUCACCUAAGGGUGUGGGGGUGACCUCAUGACUUCAACCAUGACCCGUUAGUCCCUGUGAGAAGA